AUUGGGCAUGGGCGAANCCUGNCCACGACACCGCGUGGAGGAAGAAGGCCUUCGGGUCGUAAACUCCUUUUCCCGGGGAAGAAUAAUGACGGUACCCGAGGAAUAAGUCUCGGCCAACUACGUGCCAGCAGCCGCGGUAAUACGUAGGAGGCAAGCGUUAUCCGGAUUUACUNGGGCGUAAAGCGGGUGUAGGCGGCCUCUUCAAGUCGGAUGUUAAAUCUCCUGGCCUAACUAGGAGGGUGCAUCCGAUACUGUUGGGCUGGAGUGCAGUAGAGGGAAGCGGAAUUCCCGGUGUAGUGGUGAAAUGCGUAGAUAUCGGGAGGAACACCAGUGGCGAAGGCGGCUUCCUGGGCUGUUACUGACGCUGAGGCCCGAAGGCGUGGGGAGCAAACAGGAUUAGAUACCCUGGUAGUCCACGCAGUAAACUAUGGACACUAGGUAUGGGGAGUAUCGACCCUCCCCGUGCCGAAGCUAACGCUUUAAGUGUCCCGCCUGGGGACUACGGUCGCAAGACUAAAACUCAAAAGAAUUGACGGA
This 537-nucleotide ribosomal RNA is filed under the name uncultured bacterium. RNAcentral's name for it is "bacterial SSU rRNA". It matches the Rfam family "Bacterial small subunit ribosomal RNA", at positions 363 to 917 of the family's 1533-position model. The record is from RNAcentral.